UACGGGGGGGCAAGCGUUGUUCGGAAUUCCUGGGCGUAAAGGGCUCGUAGGUGGCCAACUAAGUCAGACGUGAAAUCCCCAGGCUUAACCUGGGAACUGCGUCUGAUACUGGAAGGCUUGAGGAUGGGAGAGGGAUGUAGAAUUCCAGGUGUAGCGGUGAAAUGCGUAGAUAUCUGGAGGAAUACCGGUGGCGAAGGCGGCAUCCUGGACCAUUUCUGACGCUGAGGCGCGAAAGCUAGGGGAGCAAACGGG
RNAcentral lists this ribosomal RNA (252 nucleotides) under uncultured bacterium. RNAcentral's name for it is "partial 16S ribosomal RNA". It matches the Rfam family "Bacterial small subunit ribosomal RNA", at positions 524 to 776 of the family's 1533-position model. The record is from RNAcentral.